GGAGAGGUGGCAGAGUGGCCGAAUGCGCCGGCUUGCUAAGCCGGUGAUCUCCUUAUGGGGAUCCGAGGGUUCGAAUCCCUCCCUCUCCGCCA
Molecule: transfer RNA, 92 nt
Filed under: Planctomycetota bacterium
Lineage: Bacteria; Pseudomonadati; Planctomycetota
Description: Planctomycetes bacterium (freshwater metagenome) tRNA-Ser
Rfam family: tRNA
About the family: Transfer RNA (tRNA) molecules are approximately 80 nucleotides in length. Their secondary structure includes four short double-helical elements and three loops (D, anti-codon, and T loops).
Source: RNAcentral